GUAUAAGGAGACUGUAUGGGUGCCCUUUUCUGGGCUUAAUAGGGAAGCAGGUGAAAGGCCUGCGUGGUCCCGCCGCUGUAACCGGGGACGAAACCUAUAAAAAAGCCACUGGGUGCUUUUAGGUGCCUGGGAAGGCGUGGGGAGUAGGAAGAGCCGGGAGUCAGAAGACCUGCCCAUACAAUAGAUAGCUU
Molecule: non-coding RNA, 191 nt
Filed under: Syntrophobacter sp.
Lineage: Bacteria; Pseudomonadati; Thermodesulfobacteriota; Syntrophobacteria; Syntrophobacterales; Syntrophobacteraceae
Source: RNAcentral